This 549-nucleotide long non-coding RNA is filed under the name Brassica napus (rape). RNAcentral describes it as "long non-coding RNA (BNAP_LNC009955)". The record is from RNAcentral. Lineage: Eukaryota; Viridiplantae; Streptophyta; Magnoliopsida; Brassicales; Brassicaceae.
CUACACUUGUUUACGUCCUCGUAUCCGUCUCGGUGCAACUUAGUGAAUAAUUUAUUAAAGAUUUGGAUUCCUCAACUUACCACCAUUUAAAGUUAGAAACCCAAUAAACUUAAUAUUACUCAACUUUUGCAUGUCUAGUGCAAAAGAGUCUGACUAUCAGUUUUAUCAUCUAGUGCUAAACACAGCUACUGCACUUAAUCAUUUUAUAGAGACACUUAGCCUUAAUGUGUAACCUAAGCUACAUAUAACUCACGACCAUAGCGUUCCAGCAGCUAAACUUCUCUCAGCCUCCAUAGCUCUAUACACUUUUUCUGCAUCUUUCACCAUUUCAUACUUCAAAUCAAUCCCAAGCCUUCAAUACACAAGAAAACACCGGUACCAUUUAGAAAUUCAGAGAGUUUAAUAUGAUUUUAUGGUUGGACGACAACACUCAAGAAAUAGCGGAUAAAGUGUUGGAGUCUCACAAACUCAGGCUGCAAUUGAACACAACAUUACAAUCCUUCAAACUACAACAUUUACCUCCAUCACAGAGUUUCAAAUGAUGGAUCU